UGGGGAAUAUUGGACAAUGGGGGGAACCCUGAUCCAGCCAUGCCGCGUGUGUGAAGAAGGCCUUUUGGUUGUAAAGCACUUUAAGCGAGGAGGAGGGUACUGGUAUUAAUACUACCAGCUACUGGACGUAACUCGCAGAAUAAGCACCGGCUAACUCUGUGCCAGCAGCCGCGGUAAUACAGAGGGUGCGAGCGUUAAUCGGAUUUACUGGGCGUAAAGCGUGCGUAGGCGGCUAAUUGAGUCGGAUGUGAAAUCCCCGGGCUUAACUUGGGAAUUGCAUUCGAUACUGGUUAGCUAGAGUGUGGGAGAGGAUGGUAGAAUUCCAGGUGUAGCGGUGAAAUGCGUAGAGAUCUGGAGGAAUACCGAUAGCGAAGGCAGCCAUCUGGCCUAACACUGACGCUGAGGUACGAAAGCAUGGGGAGCAAACAGG
Molecule: ribosomal RNA, 430 nt
Filed under: Pseudomonadota bacterium
Lineage: Bacteria; Pseudomonadati; Pseudomonadota
Description: Proteobacteria bacterium partial 16S ribosomal RNA
Rfam family: Bacterial small subunit ribosomal RNA
Source: RNAcentral